CCCUUAGAUGUCCGGGGCUGCACGCGCGCUACACUGAAGGAAUCAGCGUGCUAAAACCAUUGUCGAAAGGCAUUGGUAAACCCAUUAAAAUCCUACGUGAUUGGGAUCGGGAAUUGCAAUUAUUUCCCUUGAACGAGGAAUUCCCAGUAAGUGUGGGUCAUAAGCUCGCGUUGAUUACGUCCCUGCCCUUUGUACACACCGCCCGUCGCUGCCCGGGACUGAGCCGUUUCGAGAAAAGCGGGGACUGCUGCUGUCGGGGCUUUCGGGCCUUGGCUUCGGUGGAAACCGCUUUAAUCGCAGUGGCUUGAACCGGGCAAAAAUCGUAACA
This 328-nucleotide ribosomal RNA is filed under the name uncultured eukaryote. RNAcentral's name for it is "partial 18S ribosomal RNA". It matches the Rfam family "Eukaryotic small subunit ribosomal RNA", at positions 1470 to 1796 of the family's 1831-position model. The record is from RNAcentral.